GAUACGGAGAGAGAGAGAGAGAGAGAGAGAGAGAGAGAGAGAUGCAGAGAGGAGAUGACGAUGUCUCCGUUCAUGGCUUUCUUGGAUCAAAUUCGAGAUGGGGUUCGCCGUUUCCGGCGUCCGUUCCAGCCGGCGACGACGGCUCUCCGGAUGGCAUGAUGAUACCGACGCUGCCCACUGAAUGACGGUUUACUAGAUGUAGAACUCGUCGGAAAACCAUCGGUGGUAGAGAGAGUAGAGACAGUGUUGAUGUAGACGACGAGAAUCACAAGUUGCAGUCACCUACCGUCUUGCCGAAUGCCAGUUCACCUCCAUUGCUACAACCACAACCUCCUUUCCCACGUUAACAUCAGUAUAGUAUACAUUGGAGCUACUAUACACUAUACAGACGAUGGUGAUCAUUUUAUCAGGUCCUUGAGGGAUGAGGUUUCAGACAUUAGAAGAACUCCCCUCUAGGCUUUAAAGAGGCGUUGAUGCGAGGUAGGAUCAAACGCCCAACUGUUCAUUCUUCUUCUCAGUCCGCAAUUUCAGGUGGUUCGGAAGAUUACAUGUGGUUUGGCGGCAGUUACAGGAGGUUCGGCGAUCGGCGCUGAUUGUUCAGUUUUCAGUCGGAGAUUACAGGUGGUUUGGGUAGCAAUUACAGGGGUGCAAAAUGAUGGAAAAUGACUUGAGAAGAGCAUGACAGACUAGCUGCUCAAAGUCAAUUUAUUAUUCACACCGUAGGCAGGCACACGAGUUCUCUAACUCCACUUUCUUGCAAAAGCGCCAUGAUGAAACAGAUGAAGAAUUUAGAAAGCACAAUUGAGAGAGCGAAGAGGUCGCUAGAAGCAAGGAUGAAAAAGGAAGGCGGACACGCGUGAGAGCAAUGGGUUUAGAGGGUUGUAAGCGAUAACAUUUUGCUUUCUAUAUUUGAUCAAGUUAACUGUUGAUUGCAACCUUCAUAAAACAAAUAGUUCAUAAACAUUUAUAUCUUUUUCUCUCUCCUUUUGUGUACACAUUGCCAGUACAUUUAAAAACCAAACCCCACCUUGGUUAUAUGUCUUAAUAUCAUAUUUUACAUGUUCUCUUUUCGUUUAAAAAGCAAGGAAGUAGUUUGA
RNAcentral lists this long non-coding RNA (1097 nucleotides) under Helianthus annuus (common sunflower). RNAcentral describes it as "hypothetical non coding rna". Lineage: Eukaryota; Viridiplantae; Streptophyta; Magnoliopsida; Asterales; Asteraceae. The record is from RNAcentral.